AGGACGAACGCUGGCGGCGUGCUUAACACAUGCAAGUCGAGCGGAAAGGCCCUUCGGGGUACUCGAGCGGCGAACGGGUGAGUAACACGUGAGUAACCUGCCCCUAGUUCUGGGAUAGCUCCGGGAAACCGGAAUUAAUAACCGGAUACAACCACGGACGACAUCGGCCGUGGUGGAAAAGAUUUAUCGACUAGGGAUGGGCUCGCGGCCUAUCAGCUUGUUGGUGGGGUAACGGCCUACCAAGGCGACGACGGGUAGCC
This 260-nucleotide ribosomal RNA is filed under the name uncultured bacterium. RNAcentral's name for it is "partial small subunit ribosomal RNA". It matches the Rfam family "Bacterial small subunit ribosomal RNA", at positions 26 to 288 of the family's 1533-position model. The record is from RNAcentral.